GGAAAAUCUGUAGCUCAGUGGAAGAGAUGCCUUUUUGCGAGGAGAAGGUCCCAGGUUUAAUCCCUGGGAUCUCCA
Molecule: non-coding RNA, 75 nt
Organism: Podarcis lilfordi (Lilford's wall lizard)
Lineage: Eukaryota; Metazoa; Chordata; Lepidosauria; Squamata; Lacertidae
Source: the annotation of a GenBank genome assembly